UACGGAGGAUGCAAGCGUUAUCCGGAUUCAUUGGGUUUAAAGGGUGCGCAGGUGGGAAAAUAAGUCAGUGGUGAAAUACUGCCGCUUAACGGUAGAAUUGCCAUUGAUACUGUUUUUCUUGAGUAUGGUUGAGGUAGGUGGAAUGUGUUGUGUAGCGGUGAAAUGCAUAGAUAUGACACAGAACGCCGAUUGCGAAGGCAGCUUACUAAGCCAUUACUGACGCUGAGGCACGAAAGCGUGGGGAUCGAACAGG
Molecule: ribosomal RNA, 253 nt
Filed under: uncultured bacterium
Lineage: Bacteria
Description: partial 16S ribosomal RNA
Rfam family: Bacterial small subunit ribosomal RNA
Source: RNAcentral